RNAcentral lists this long non-coding RNA (266 nucleotides) under Gossypium barbadense (sea-island cotton). Its description in RNAcentral is "long non-coding RNA (GBAR_LNC014459)". Lineage: Eukaryota; Viridiplantae; Streptophyta; Magnoliopsida; Malvales; Malvaceae. The record is from RNAcentral.
GGCUUCGUUUUCAGCAUGCUCAUGUGGCCUCGAUUGUCAUGUUUUGACUUUUUGGCUUUUGCCGAUUCGCGGUAGAGGUGGUGUGGAUACACACCUGAUUGUGAAGACGCGUUAAAUCCACAAAUGCAGAACCUAUAUUUGGCAAUCAAACUUUGUUAAUCGACUACACAGUUAUACAAUUAAUUAAACUAAAGUUGUUACGACCGCUCACUUACCCUACUUCGAUCGAGCAAAAAAGAAUGGUUCGUUUACUUAGGUAUUCGCCA